GAUGAAGAACGCAGCGAAAUGCGAUAAGUAAUGUGAAUUGCAGAAUUCAGUGAAUCAUCGAAUCUUUGAACGCACCUUGCGCCCUUUGGCUAUUCCGAAGGGCAUGCCUGUUUGAGUAUCAUGAACACCUCAACUCUCAUGGUUUGCCAUGAUGAGCUUGGACUCUGGGGGUCUUGCUGGCCUAUGGUCAGCUCCUCUCAAACAAAUCAGCUUGCCAGUGUUUGGUGGCAUCACAGGUGUGAUAACUAUCUACGCUUGUGGUUUUCCAUCAGGUAACCUUCAGUGAUGGAGGUUCGCUGGAGCUCAUAAAUGUCCCUCCUCAGCGAGGACAGCUUUUUGAACGUUUGAUCUCAAAUCAGGUAGGACUACCCGCUGAACUUAAGCAUAUCAAUAAGCGGAGGA
Molecule: unclassified non-coding RNA, 402 nt
Filed under: soil metagenome
Description: partial contains 5.8S ribosomal RNA, internal transcribed spacer 2, and large subunit ribosomal RNA
Rfam family: 5.8S ribosomal RNA (bases 1-121)
Source: RNAcentral